RNAcentral lists this ribosomal RNA (450 nucleotides) under Melongena patula. Its description in RNAcentral is "partial small subunit ribosomal RNA". It matches the Rfam family "Microsporidia small subunit ribosomal RNA", at positions 752 to 1303 of the family's 1311-position model. Lineage: Eukaryota; Metazoa; Mollusca; Gastropoda; Neogastropoda; Melongenidae. The record is from RNAcentral.
UCUUGAACGUAAAUUUGAUUAAAUUUACCAGAGUACUAUGAAUCAUAUAAAAUUUAAAACUCAAAGGGCUUGGCGGUGUUUUAGACCUAUUAGGGGAACCUGUCCUGUAAUCGACAGUCCACGUUAAACCUGACCUUUUUUAGUAAUCAGCUUGUAUACCGUCGUCGUCAGGUAACUUUUAAAAAACUAGAAGUUAGCUAAUGCAAUUUUUAUAAAUUAAAACGUCAGAUCAAGGUGCAGCUAACAAAAAGGAAAGGAUGGGUUACAAUUAUAUUCUUAUAAUUACGGAAGAUUAUGUGAAAACGUAAACGGAAGGAGGACUUAAAAGUAAAAUGUAUUACAUAAAUGAUUUGAAUAAGGCUCUGAAACGUGCACACAUCGCCCGUCGCUCUCGUUGAAAAAUGAGAUAAGUCGUAACAUAGCAGGGGUAAUGGAAAUUGCCCCUAAAUG